Molecule: ribosomal RNA, 111 nt
Filed under: Solicoccozyma terrea
Lineage: Eukaryota; Fungi; Basidiomycota; Tremellomycetes; Filobasidiales; Piskurozymaceae
Description: partial 18S ribosomal RNA
Source: RNAcentral
CUCAUAUACUCUACAGUUCACGGGUAGAUUACUUAGCAGGCCUGGCGAAGACAACACGCAUGAUGUAUAAUCAAUGAUCUCUUCUGAGGUGAACCUGCGGAAGGAUCAUUA